This 251-nucleotide ribosomal RNA is filed under the name uncultured prokaryote. RNAcentral describes it as "partial 16S rRNA". It matches the Rfam family "Bacterial small subunit ribosomal RNA", at positions 525 to 775 of the family's 1533-position model. The record is from RNAcentral.
ACGGAGGAUGCGAGCGUUAUCCGGAUUUAUUGGGUUUAAAGGGUGCGUAGGUGGACUGUUUAGUCAGUGGUGAAAUGCUGAUGCUCAACGUUAGCAUUGCCGUUGAAACUGACAGUCUUGAGAGUGAUUGAGGCAGGCGGAAUGUGUGGUGGAGGGGAGAAAAACAAAGAUAUCACACAGAACCCCAAUGGCGAGGGCAUCUAACAAAGCCACAACUGACACUGAAGCACGAAAGCGUGGGGAUCAAACAG